UUGGAGGGCAAGUCUGGUGCCAGCAGCCGCGGUAAUUCCAGCUCCAAUAGCGUAUAUUAAAGUUGUUGCAGUUAAAAAGCUCGUAGUUGAAUUUCGGGGUUAGUAGGUUGGUCAUGCCACUGGUAUGUACUGGUCUCACUGAUUCCUCCUUCCUGAUGAGCCGUAAUGCCAUUAAUUUGGUGUUGCGAGGAAUCUGGACUGUUACUUUGAAAAAAUUAGAGUGUUUAAAGCAAGCUAACGCUUGAAUACAUUAGCAUGGAAUAAUGAAAUAGGACGUUCGAUCCUAUUUUGUUGGUUUCUAGGAUUGACGUAAUGAUUAAUAGGGAUAGUUGGGGGCAUUAGUAUUCAAUUGUCAGAGGUGAAAUUCUUGGAUUUAUUGAAGACUAACUACUGCGAAAGCAUUUGCCAAGGAUGUCUUCAUUAAUCAAGAACGAAAGUUAGGGGACCGAAGACGAUCAGAUACCGUCGUAGUCUUAACCAUAAACUAUGCCGACUAGGGAUCGGAUGAUGUUAAUUUUUUAAUGACUCAUUCGGCGCCUUACGGGAAACCAAAGUGUUUGGGUUC
RNAcentral lists this ribosomal RNA (565 nucleotides) under uncultured Glomeromycotina. Its description in RNAcentral is "SSU rRNA". It matches the Rfam family "Eukaryotic small subunit ribosomal RNA", at positions 548 to 1114 of the family's 1831-position model. The record is from RNAcentral. Lineage: Eukaryota; Fungi; Glomeromycota.